UAAGGAAUAUUGGGCAAUGGUCGGAAGACUGACCCAGCCAUGCCGCGUGCAGGAAGACGGCCCUAUGGGUUGUAAACUGCUUUUGUUGGGGAAUAAAACUUUCUACGAGUAGAGAGCUGAAGGUACCCGAAGAAUAAGCAUCGGCUGACUCCGUGCCAGCAGCCGCGGUAAUACGGAGGAUGCAAGCGUUAUCCGGAUUCAUUGGGUUUAAAGGGUGCGCAGGCGGAUUGGUAAGUCAGUGGUGAAAUUCUAGUGCUUAACAUUAGACCUGCCAUUGAUACUGUCAGUCUAGAGUAUAGUUGGAGUGGGCGGAAUGUGUCAUGUAGCGGUGAAAUGCUUAGAUAUGACACAGAACACCGAUCGCGAAGGCAGCUCACUAAGCUAAAACUGACGCUCAUGCACGAAAGCAUGGGGAUCAAACA
RNAcentral lists this ribosomal RNA (422 nucleotides) under uncultured prokaryote. RNAcentral's name for it is "bacterial SSU rRNA". It matches the Rfam family "Bacterial small subunit ribosomal RNA", at positions 355 to 774 of the family's 1533-position model. The record is from RNAcentral.